AAAGGAGCUGACGACUCCAAGCAAGUCGUUGAUCCGUCCACCGACCAGUCGACCAGUCGAUCUGCUGAUCUGACUACCGACCGAGACAUCUGCACACCUGAUCCCGCUGGAAGGAGCAUCGCCGCCGACCAGACGAGACCAGAGGACGAGGAAAGCGGAGAGGCGGACAGCCUAGCGCCGACUCGACGCCCUUCGUCUACGGAUCGGACCCUCUGACCCCACGGGAGGAAACAUCGCGCUCCCACAAGGACUUGCGCAGUACAGUGCCCCAGGAAGACAUGCUUCCACACCAGUGACUUGAAACCUGAAAAAGACAGUCCCAGCCAUCAAGACGUCCAACACAGGAGAGGAUGUGGACAAAUUUUGAAGAUUCAUCGUCUGCUUCUUGGACUAUGUAGCAGCAGAACCAGCAGAAAUACUGACUCAAUAAAUGCAGAAUAGCUAAGAGUCUUUACAUGACAAGUAACAAAAGAAAACCUCACAUUUUCUCA
This 491-nucleotide long non-coding RNA is filed under the name Heterocephalus glaber (naked mole-rat). Its description in RNAcentral is "lncRNA (ENSHGLG00000045357.1)". The record is from RNAcentral. Lineage: Eukaryota; Metazoa; Chordata; Mammalia; Rodentia; Bathyergidae.